CCCUAAUACUAACUGUUCUUUGAACCCACAGGCUCUCCUAUUUAUCUUAGAUUCAAUUGUCUUGUGGCACCAACAUUUAGGUCAUGCUUCAUUUCUCAUUAUUCAGCAUAAUUUAUCUUUCAGUGUUUUUUUAAAUAAACAUCAUGCUACCCAUGUCUGUUCAGCAUGUCAGAUGAGUAAGAUUGUAAACUGCUCUUUUCCACCUACCAUGAAUAAAAGUUCUAUAUUAUUUGAAUUUGUGCAUAUAGACAUUUGGG
RNAcentral lists this long non-coding RNA (257 nucleotides) under Elaeis guineensis (African oil palm). RNAcentral describes it as "long non-coding RNA (EGUI_LNC025700)". Lineage: Eukaryota; Viridiplantae; Streptophyta; Magnoliopsida; Arecales; Arecaceae. The record is from RNAcentral.